This is a long non-coding RNA of Astatotilapia calliptera (eastern happy), 755 nucleotides long. NCBI's taxonomy places the organism in Eukaryota, Metazoa, Chordata, Actinopteri, Cichliformes, Cichlidae. The record is from Ensembl.
CUUCAACAAUCCUCCAGUGCUCACGUGCAGCCAGGAAAGAAAGCAAGUUUCAAAAUGAAAUUUAUCGUGCUUGCUGCCUGCAUCCUUGGGAUGGCCAUCUCUGCUCCUCUGCAGAUAUUUGAGGAGUUUGACAUCCAUUACGCUCCACCUCAGGCGGCCCAGGUUAUCCCUGCUGGAGUCCCACUUGACAAUCUGGAAGUUUUGCUCCCUGUUGAUGCCCAAAGACACCCUCUUGGAGGACCUGUCCACGGCUUUAUCAAGCACGAGAUUCCAAAUCCGAAUGGCAUAGGUACCAAGGAGGUGUUCUACCCCUUUGGCUUCAACCUGCCUAAUCCAGCUGCAGCUGACCCAGCUGCUCCAGUUGCCCCAGCUGCUCCAGCUGCUCCAGCUGCCCCAGCUGCCCCUGUUGCUCUUGCUGAUCCUGCCAUUCCUGUGGAACCUCUGAAUCCUGUCGUCGUUGCACCUCCCCCAGUGACCAGAGGUGUAAGACUAUCUGCUUACUGUGGUGAAAAAUCGCCAGCCAGCAAUGCUAUUUUCUGUGGUGCUAUGCAUUUUUUGAAACGGUGCUUUGUUUGGAAAAAGAAGAAUAAAGUCAAAAAGCAUGACAUGCCUCUUAUGAAAAAAAAAUUGAUGGUUUGCAGUUAAAUAUGACCAAAAGAAAAUAUCAAAAUAAAUGUAGCAGUAUAUUGUUUCCUCUCUACAUGCAACAUGAAAUGUUUCAUUUCUGUGCUUCAUAAUAAAUGAAACAGCUCAUU